Long non-coding RNA from Lolium rigidum, 356 nucleotides. RefSeq lists it as uncharacterized. The record is from RefSeq and is a predicted model, not a curated record. Lineage: Eukaryota; Viridiplantae; Streptophyta; Magnoliopsida; Poales; Poaceae. The transcript has 2 exons.
GUCGCUACCCGGGGACUUGGUAGCCUGGGCGCCUGGCCCUCCCGAGCUCCGUUGGUAGCCGCAGCCACACCUACACAGGUUUCUUACUUGUGAAAGUUCAGUUCACCUAAUCCUAUGAAGUUCACUCCUCCCUAGUGCUUCAGUUCAGACUUGUGAAGUACGUGCAUGAGCAGAUGGUGCUGAUGCUGCUCUACCCACAGUAAGCCUUCAAUUGCUUAGAGUAGAUGUAAUACAUGUAUGUUGUUGAUGCGUGGGUGAUAGAAACAGUUCCAUUCGGACAUGCUUAAUUUGUUAUUAAAACAUAGUGCUACUUGUAGUUCACUUCUCCUAAUUCAUGAAGUUCACAUCUCUUGCUA